GAUCCUGGCUCAGAUUGAACGCUGGCGGCAUGCCUUACACAUGCAAGUCGAACGGCAGCGGACCUUCGGGUGCCGGCGAGUGGCGAACGGGUGAGUAAUAUAUCGGAACGUACCUUUCAGUGGGGAUAACGUAGCGAAAGUUACGCUAAUACCGCAUAUUCUGUGAGCAGGAAAGCAGGGGAUCGCAAGACCUUGCGCUGAUUGAGCGGCCGAUAUCAGAUUAGCUAGUUGGUGAGGUAAAGGCUCACCAAGGCGACGAUCUGUAGCGGGUCUGAGAGGACGAUCCCCCACACCGGUACUGAGAUACGGACCGGACUCCUACGGGAGGCAGCAGUAGGGAAUAUUGGGCAAUGGGCGAGAGCCUGACCCAGCCAUGCCGCGUGUGUGAAGAAGGCCUUCGGGUUGUAAAGCACUUUAAGCGGGGAGGAAGGCCUGGCGACUAAUAUCCGUCGGGAUUGACGUUACCCGCAGAAUAAGCACCGGCAAACUUCGUG
Molecule: ribosomal RNA, 494 nt
Filed under: uncultured bacterium
Lineage: Bacteria
Description: bacterial SSU rRNA
Rfam family: Bacterial small subunit ribosomal RNA
Source: RNAcentral